RNAcentral lists this unclassified non-coding RNA (981 nucleotides) under Hevea brasiliensis (rubber tree). The record is from RNAcentral. Lineage: Eukaryota; Viridiplantae; Streptophyta; Magnoliopsida; Malpighiales; Euphorbiaceae.
UUUUUUUUUUUGGAAAAAGAGAUAAAUCAGGCCCGAACAAAUGGGACGGGCAGAGAAGUCUUUCAAAAUCAGAAAUCAUUUAACAAAGAGGAAAAGAGUGAACAAAAAUUAAUUUUUUUUAAAAGCAAUUUCAUUGAAUAAACAGGCUAAAAUGCCCCCCCAAAACAAAUUACAUUACCACCAGUAAACCAACAAGAAUCAGUGUUCAAUAAGUAAUCACGAUUUUCUCCGGUGCAGUGCAAGGUUUUACUUUACGGGGCAUUUACUCCAAUGCCACAUCAUUUAGAAGCGCAUGUGGGACCCGCAUAUACAAAAUGGUGCUUAGAAAAAAAAUUUUUAAGAGCAAAGAAAAAAAAGGCCGCGGGAGAAAAGCUCAGGGAGACCUAAGGCAGUUAUCUCCAGCAGACUGCUCUUGCCAACAGUUGCAGACGCUUCCAUGCGCUUCUCUCCCCCUCACUGCCUAAAGCUCUUUUGGGAAGAAGAGAAUGGGUGAGAGAUGGAGACCAUUUGGUUAGAGAGGCAGCAAAUACAACUACGAAAAUUUCCAAUUUAAUUCCAUGCAAAAUGCAUAUGAAAAUAAGGAUGAGAAAUUUGAUUGGGACAUUUUCUACUCUCUUCCCACUAAUUCUGCAUACUUUUAACUGGCGAUUCAAAUUUGGAUAAAACUAUUCUAAAAUGCAUUAAAAAAAAGUUAAAAAAAAAAUUGUAUCAGAAAUCCUAUAAAAUAAGGGAAAAAGAUUUCUGGCCCUAACUUCAGGAGGAACCAAUUUUAUAUUUCCCUUUUUUCUUUCAAAAAAAAAAAAGGGUCUUAUCCUGCUAUGUUUUGCUUGAAACCACAGAAGAUACCUGCUGCAGUACUUGGGAAUACGAGAGAAAUGGAAAUUUAAACAAUAAAAUAGACAUACAGAUUUCAUUGAAGAAACAUCACCACCGCUGCUCACUUCCCUACCAAAUUCUCGAUCUCUAGGAAACUCCCUUUCA